UGGCUAAAAGAAAUUGGCAACUCUUGCUCGAAGCGAAGCCGACGAGGGGCAAAUGCGCAUCGACGCUCGACGAUCCUGGAAAAACGUCUGUCGCUAUACCGGGAGCGCUCUCCUCCUCAUCUUACUCACCGAGGUGCCUCUCACAGUCUGCAGACGCGGACACAGAUAAAGAGGCUGGGCAUCGCUCGUCGCGACCCCGAGGCUGAGCUUGCAAGCGCCCGAGCGACCCGGAGAUGCAAUCGCGAGGGAGGCGCACUUGGAACUGGCGCCAGCGCCACGAGGCUUCGGUUGACCGGAGACUAUCCUUGGCAAUGACUUCGCUGCCUCGGCUUCAAGACUAGAAUGGAGCGAGAGUUAGUAACGAGUGCCAAAAUACGUCCUUGUCACUCACCUGCCAACGCAACCAAACACGAGGCGAAUUUCGAGGAUGGAGGGGAAGCCAUUUAAUUUCGCGCAUUGCGAUUUUAAUAGCAAAGG
This is a long non-coding RNA of Ceratosolen solmsi marchali, 477 nucleotides long. RefSeq lists it as uncharacterized. The record is from RefSeq and is a predicted model, not a curated record. The transcript is spliced from 2 exons. NCBI's taxonomy places the organism in Eukaryota, Metazoa, Arthropoda, Insecta, Hymenoptera, Agaonidae.